Physeter macrocephalus (sperm whale) is the source of this 2248-nucleotide long non-coding RNA. RefSeq lists it as uncharacterized. NCBI's taxonomy places the organism in Eukaryota, Metazoa, Chordata, Mammalia, Artiodactyla, Physeteridae. The transcript is spliced from 2 exons. The record is from RefSeq and is a predicted model, not a curated record.
ACGUGUCCAUCAAGAAGAGCAGGGAAUGUUCCAGGCCGUGUGCAGGCCUGUUCCAAGUUAACUUGAUGAAACACGGCGGUGGCAUCUGGCAGGAAGACCGGCACCCUCCGGGCCAGACCCUGGUCCCCCGGCGGCAGGGCUGGGCUUUACCUGUUUCCGUAAGUCCUGAGCCGACCGAUGCAGAGGAGGGGGGUGGUGAGCGGGGAGCCCCCUGGCAGAGGAGCCCGCGGAGGGGGCCGCUGGGGGGCGGCUCGCGGAAGCCUGCUCCCUCCGGCCGUCGGCCCGGGGAUCACUGUGCCUCUCCUUCGCCGGCGUGGCCUCUUUGCUUUUGUGUUUCGGAACAGGUUCCUUCUCCCGAGAUGACCUGCUGGAACCAUUGAAAACUGGAAAGUAACGAGAGAGGAAGAACAAAGUCACUACAGAGGAUGCUGCCUGCUGCCAGGUACCCUAAAUCCCCCAAAGACAAAAGGAGAAAGAGAAGGAAAACAUUCUGGACAAACAUCACAUCUCACAUGCUCUCAAGACCCAACCUCAAGUCAAAACAACCACCACAAAGGACAGGAAUGAUCCUAAACACAGACAGACCAAAGAAAGUUAUAAACACAUGCUAGGAAUUAUCUGCUUUGGUUGAAACCAUUGAAAAAUCCAUUUAAAAAAAUCCCUACAGGGACUUGCCUGGUGGCACAGUGGUUAAGAAUCUGCCAGUGCAGAGGACACGGGUUCGAGCCCUGGUCCAGGAAGAUCCCACAUGCUGCGGAGCAACGAAGCCCGUGUGACACAGCUACCUAAGCCCGCGUGCCUAGAGCCCGUGCUCCGCAACAAGAGAAGCCACCACAAUGAGAAGCCCGCACUCCGCAAUGAAGAGUAGCCCCCACUCGCCGCAACUAGAGAGAGCCCGCGUGCAGCAACAAAGACCCAACGCAGCCAAAAAUAAAUAAAUUAAUUAAUUAAUAGGAAAAAAAAAAAAAAAAAAAAAAAGAAACCAACACAGUCACAUUCCACGAACAGGACGACCUCAUGUAUAAACAUACAGGGGAUCUGAAAAAAGAAUAUAUUCUUCAGUUUAAAGUAACGCAUUUAAGGCUGCAGAUCUGCUGAUGGAUAUGGGUCAGGACACAGCUGCUUCAUCUGACCCCUCAGUGACCAGAGAAGAGGGACAGAGAGGGCACAGGUGCUCUGAGCCGGACCCGUUUCUAUCCCAGGAGUCACCACACACCUGCAAGUGUUAAGUGUUUGCCGACAGCCCAGGGGCCAUGGUCAGGCGGGGAAGUCACUCAGCCUCUGAAUCCAAGGGGACUGGACCUUAUCCUCACGCCCAUUUUACGGAGGACGCCAACGGAAGGCGAGUGCCGAGCCCAGGCCCUGCUGCCUCCCAGGCCCCCCCUCCCGGUCCCCAGGUUGUGCUCAGUGCUGGCUCCCCGUGUGCCUGCUGCACACCCCCAAACCCGCUUCGGGGGGUUGAGAGGAGACCAGCAUCACGCUGCUGCCCUGAGGUUUCUCCUCUGUUCACAGCCGGGGCUCGCACUCCAGGAAAGAGCCGGUGGGCCCGGCACUCCUCCACGGCGUCCACAAGCCCUUCACAUCUGCUCCUCUGGCUCCCGCAGGUCCCCCCACCCAUCGCAAAUCCCCCGGGGAAGGUGGCCUCUUUCUCCAGGGAAGGAGGAAGGAUGCCCCAUGCGUGGCUGCCCGGCCCCACGAGCUCCAGGCAGAACAGCCAGGGAAGCCAAGCCGGUGAGCCCUUUCGGCUGUCAUUUCCUGACAGAAGGAGCCUUGAAAGGUCACUGUGCCCACCCGCCCACUGGCCACCUCCACUCCCAGGCUACCCACCCCCCAACCAGGCCUUGCAGAAUUCCAGGCAGAAGUCACCACAGGACGAGGCAGCUGUAAAGAACAACUUCCUCCUCCUUUGAGUUGAAACCUCUUCCUGAAGCUUAAAGACACAGAAGUCAAAGCCCCUCUCCCACUGGUCCGUAAGACAAUAACGUAUGUCUUCCAAGGAUGCCCUUCCCAGUGCCUUCAAUGCUUUCUUUGUCACCCCCAUUUGUCUAAGUGUCCUUUAAAUUACAUUUAUGCCUUGUAGAUUGCAAAUAUUUUCCUCUUUUUUGCUUUUCCAUCUGUUACGUUGCUAAAUCUGCUAACCCACUUUUAAAGUUUCUUAGCUUAGAAAGUUCUCCCAUGAAGCUGGUCAGAGGUGGGGACUUUCUUACAUGCAGCCAGCAGCACCCCGCAAGAAGAAGAAGAAGAAGAA